ACAGGGCUGGCCAUGGGCGAUUCGUUUGUAAACCCGGUCAGAUUCGGAAGAAAGCAGCCGUAGCAAUUUUGUUUCGGGUCAUGUGUCAGUCCGUCUCU
RNAcentral lists this signal recognition particle RNA (98 nucleotides) under Alphaproteobacteria bacterium. Its description in RNAcentral is "signal recognition particle sRNA small type". It matches the Rfam family "Bacterial small signal recognition particle RNA". Rfam says of the family: The signal recognition particle (SRP) is a universally conserved ribonucleoprotein involved in the co-translational targeting of proteins to membranes. Archaeal SRP consists of a 7S RNA and homologues of the eukaryotic SRP19 and SRP54 proteins. Lineage: Bacteria; Pseudomonadati; Pseudomonadota; Alphaproteobacteria. The record is from RNAcentral.